Non-coding RNA from Streptomyces sp. WM6378, 88 nucleotides. The record is from Rfam. NCBI's taxonomy places the organism in Bacteria, Bacillati, Actinomycetota, Actinomycetes, Kitasatosporales, Streptomycetaceae.
GAGGGAGCUGUCGAAGGUGGGACUGGCGAUUGGGACGAAGUCGUAACAAGGUAGCCGUACCGGAAGGUGCGGCUGGAUCACCUCCUUU